CCCUUAGAUGUUCUGGGCCGCACGCGCGCUACAAUGAUGCAGGCAACGAGUGCUGCUCCUUGGCCGAAAGGCUUGGGGAACCUUGAAAACUGCAUCGUGCUAGGGAUAGAUGAUUGCAAUCGUGCAUCUUGAACGAGGAAUGCCUUGUAAGCGUGAGUCAUCAACUCGCGCUGAAUACGUCCCUGCCCUUUGUACACACCGCCCGUCGCUCCUACCGAUUGGAUGAUCCGGUGAACUGGUCGGACUGAUGAUUGAUACCGUGGGUACGGUACAAACACAGAAAGUCUAGUAAGCCUUAUCAUCUAGAGGAAGGAGAAGUCGUAACA
Molecule: ribosomal RNA, 326 nt
Filed under: uncultured eukaryote
Lineage: Eukaryota
Description: partial 18S ribosomal RNA
Rfam family: Eukaryotic small subunit ribosomal RNA
Source: RNAcentral